AUCAAUUUAAUACAUUUAAUUCGUUACACCUACAUUACUGAGCGCAAGGGAGUGCAGCCAACAAAUACAUUCAGGUGUGUUCGACUUAACACCGAGAUGCGCAGACAGCACGUGGUAUGACAUCAAAGUACCGCGAGAGUUUGGGAAAGCCCCGGAAAAGGUUUGAUCUCGCGGUACUUGAUGUCACGAUCGGUUUGCGUGUAGAUCAGCAUGAAGUAGAACACAUCUGAAAGAUGUGUGGGCUGCCUGCACUCAACGUUGCGAUAAUUCAGUAGAGUGUAACCUCAAUCGGUUUUUGCAGCUUCUGGGUGUCGUGUCGAACGAUCGCAGAACGAUUUUUUGUUCUUUUCCAACUCGAUUUUUAACUCCCUAGACUAGUAGGAUGUUCCAACGGGUGAAGCAACAGUGCUGACGGCAGAGUUUCAGUGUCAAUUUUUCAUGCCAUGAUCACUGGGGCGGAAACCAUUAUGACGUUGCCUUGGACAUCAAACUAAACCAUCAAAUUCUGGCUUUUUUCUAACAUCGAAAUCUCAGAAGGCCAGGACUAAGAUGGACGCAGCCUCCACAUGCAACCUUGCAUUUGAGGAACACCCAUAGAACGGAGAAAGUCAUGGGUUCUGCUGCUGAGGUUGUCAUAAAGCAUGCUUUUUCCAUUUGUUGCAUUGGGCAAUAUUAUCAAAAGAUUCUGAAAGAAAUAAGAUAAUUUUCAAAGCAUUAACAUGAAUAUGAAAGCAUUAAGUCAUUAAUGAUCAUCUUUUAUUAUUGUUUAUUUAUAGUGUCUUUUAUUCUGCUUACCUGACUCAUGCAGAAUUCUGGCUUGAUGUUUGGUCCACCUGUUAGCUGGCUCUGGUGCUUGGUAGUCUUCUCAAACCUCUGAAUCAAGGCCACCAUGAGAGGCCUUCUGAAGACCAUCAUUACGCUUCAGAUCCAGUUGUCUUAACUAUGAGCCUACCACAAUCCCUGUGCACCAGCUAUGGAAAGUGCAGACCAAACUUCUACCUCCACCUAUAGAACUGAACUGGAGUCUGUGAACUAAUGCUGUGUUCGAGCCAACUGGAACAGCAAACAAAGUUGAGUAUCCGACCUCUCAACUUGUGACUGAUCGAUCAGCACCAACCUCAACGAGAUGCAUCAUUUGACAUUGCAGACAAAUCCUUUCUCUUUUUAAUGCAGCACUUAAGGAUGAACCACCCUGAUCUACUAAGAUGCACAGAUUCAACUCUGGCCCAGCAUCAUCCCCACACCUCAUCUGCCAUCAGUUUAAUUUAAUGUCUGUCAAUUGCAAAUGCUAUUUAUUUCAGUUAUAUUACAACUUAAUGUUAACUUUAAUUGAGACUAGUAUUGUGUAAAGCUGGGGUUUCCAAACUUUUCAUUUCAAAACCUAUUAGACAAGUGUAAUCUAUUCUAGACCCACUAAAAUAUUUUUACAUAUACAUUUUUUUAAUGGGGUAAAACACAUUUGUUCUCUUUCAGUGGAGUCAUUUUAUUUUCAUAAUAUUUCAUAAUGUAAAGCAGUGGUUCUUAACGUUAUUCCUCGAGGCCCACUGCUCUGCACAUUUUGUAUGUCUCUUUUAUCUGACAGA
Paramisgurnus dabryanus is the source of this 1583-nucleotide long non-coding RNA. RefSeq lists it as uncharacterized. Lineage: Eukaryota; Metazoa; Chordata; Actinopteri; Cypriniformes; Cobitidae. The record is from RefSeq and is a predicted model, not a curated record.